AGAUGAGUGGCGAACGGGUGAGUAAUACAUAGGUAACCUGCCCNUGUGCGGGGGAUAACAGGAGGAAACUCCUGCUAAUACCGCAUAGCCAUGAGCACCGCAUGGAGCUCAUGCCAAAUAUCCUUUCGGGGAUAGCGCAGGGAUGGACCUAUGGCGCAUUAGCUGGUUGGCGGGGCAACGGCCCACCAAGGCAACGAUGCGUAGCCGGCCUGAGAGGGCGGACGGCCACAUUGGGACUGAGACACGGCCCAGACUCCUACGGGAGGCAGCAGUAGGGAAUUUUCGGCAAUGGGGGAAACCCUGACCGAGCAACGCCGCGUGAGCGAAGAAGGCCUUCGGGUCGUAAAGCUCUGUUGUAAAGGAAGAACGGCGCAUACAGGAAAUGGUAUGCGAGUGACGGUACUUUACCAGAAAGCCACGGCUAACUACGUGCCAGCAGCCGCGGUAAUACGUAGGUGGCGAGCGUUAUCCGGAAUCAUUGGGCGUAAAGAGGGAGCAGGCGGCCGCAAGGGUCUGUGGUGAAAGACCGAAGCUAAACUUCGGUAAGCCAUGGAAACCGGGCGGCUAGAGUGCGGAAGAGGAUCGUGGAAUUCCAUGUGUAGCGGUGAAAUGCGUAGAUAUAUGGAGGAACACCAGUGGCGAAGGCGACGGUCUGGGCCGCAACUGACGCUCAUUCCCGAAAGCGUGGGGAGCA
Molecule: ribosomal RNA, 694 nt
Filed under: uncultured bacterium
Lineage: Bacteria
Description: bacterial SSU rRNA
Rfam family: Bacterial small subunit ribosomal RNA
Source: RNAcentral